This 429-nucleotide ribosomal RNA is filed under the name Pseudomonadota bacterium. RNAcentral describes it as "Proteobacteria bacterium partial 16S ribosomal RNA". It matches the Rfam family "Bacterial small subunit ribosomal RNA", at positions 355 to 776 of the family's 1533-position model. The record is from RNAcentral. Lineage: Bacteria; Pseudomonadati; Pseudomonadota.
UGGGGAAUAUUGGACAAUGGGCGAAAGCCUGAUCCAGCCAUGCCGCGUGUGUGAAGAAGGUCUUCGGAUUGUAAAGCACUUUAAGUUGGGAGGAAGGGCAGUAAGCGAAUACCUUGCUGUUUUGACGUUACCGACAGAAUAAGCACCGGCUAACUCUGUGCCAGCAGCCGCGGUAAUACAGAGGGUGCAAGCGUUAAUCGGAAUUACUGGGCGUAAAGCGCGCGUAGGUGGUUCGUUAAGUUGAAUGUGAAAGCCCCGGGCUCAACCUGGGAACUGCAUCCAAAACUGGCGAGCUAGAAGAGGGCAGAGGGUGGUGGAAUUUCCUGUGUAGCGGUGAAAUGCGUAGAUAUAGGAAGGAACACCAGUGGCGAAGGCGACCACCUGGGCUCAUACUGACACUGAGGUGCGAAAGCGUGGGGAGCAAACAGG